Molecule: ribosomal RNA, 1195 nt
Filed under: Hansenula anomala
Lineage: Eukaryota; Fungi; Ascomycota; Saccharomycetes; Phaffomycetales; Wickerhamomycetaceae
Description: eukaryotic LSU rRNA
Rfam family: Eukaryotic large subunit ribosomal RNA (bases 553-1195)
Source: RNAcentral
GAACCUGCGGAAGGAUCAUUAUAGUAUUCUAUUGCCAGCGCUUAAUUGCGCGGCGAUAAACCUUACACACAUUGUCUAGUUUUUUUGAACUUUGCUUUGGGUGCAUCAGCCUAGCUGCGUGCCCAAAGGUCUAAACACAUUUUUUUAAUGUUAAAACCUUUAACCAAUAGUCAUGAAAAUUUUUAACAAAAAUUAAAAUCUUCAAAACUUUCAACAACGGAUCUCUUGGUUCUCGCAACGAUGAAGAACGCAGCGAAAUGCGAUACGUAUUGUGAAUUGCAGAUUUUCGUGAAUCAUCGAAUCUUUGAACGCACAUUGCACCCUCUGGUAUUCCAGAGGGUAUGCCUGUUUGAGCGUCAUUUCUCUCUCAAACCUUCGGGUUUGGUAUUGAGUGAUACUCUGUCAAGGGUUAACUUGAAAUAUUGACUUAGCAAGAGUGUACUAAUAAGCAGUCUUUCUGAAAUAAUGUAUUAGGUUCUUCCAACUCGUUAUAUCAGCUAGGCAGGUUUAGAAGUAUUUUAGGCUCGGCUUAACAACAAUAAACUAAAAGUUUGACCUCAAAUCAGGUAGGACUACCCGCUGAACUUAAGCAUAUCAAUAAGCGGAGGAAAAGAAACCAACAGGGAUUGCCUCAGUAACGGCGAGUGAAGCGGCAAAAGCUCAAAUUUGAAAUCUAGCACCUUCGGUGUUCGAGUUGUAAUUUGAAGAUGGUAACCUUGGGUUUGGCUCUUGUCUAUGUUCCUUGGAACAGGACGUCAUAGAGGGUGAGAAUCCCGUCUGAUGAGAUGCCCAUUCCUAUGUAAGGUGCUAUCGAAGAGUCGAGUUGUUUGGGAAUGCAGCUCUAAGUGGGUGGUAAAUUCCAUCUAAAGCUAAAUAUUGGCGAGAGACCGAUAGCGAACAAGUACAGUGAUGGAAAGAUGAAAAGAACUUUGAAAAGAGAGUGAAAAAGUACGUGAAAUUGUUGAAAGGGAAGGGCAUUAGAUCAGACUUGGUGUUUUACGAUUAUCUUCUCUUCUUGAGUUGUGCACUCGUAUUUCACUGGGCCAGCAUCGAUUCGGAUGGCAAGAUAAUGGCAGUUGAAUGUGGCUUCACUUCGGUGGAGUGUUAUAGCUUCUGCUGAUAUUGCCUGUCUGGAUCGAGGGCUGCGUCUUUUGACUAGGAUGCUGGCGUAAUGAUCUAAUGCCGCCCGUCUUGA